CCUACGGGUGGCAGCAGUGAGGAAUAUUGGUCAAUGGCCGAGAGGCUGAACCAGCCAAGUCGCGUGAGGGAAGACGGCCCUACGGGUUGUAAACCUCUUUUGUCGGGGAGCAAAGCGAACCACGUGUGGUUCAUUGAGAGUACCCGAAGAAAAAGCAUCGGCUAACUCCGUGCCAGCAGCCGCGGUAAUACGGAGGAUGCGAGCGUUAUCCGGAUUUAUUGGGUUUAAAGGGUGCGCAGGCGGAAGAUCAAGUCAGCGGUAAAAUUGAGAGGCUCAACCUCUUCGAGCCGUUGAAACUGGUUUCCUUGAGUGAGUGAGAAGUAUGCGGAAUGCGUGGUGUAGCGGUGAAAUGCAUAGAUAUCACGCAGAACUCCGAUUGCGAAGGCAGCAUACCGGCGCUCAACUGACGCUCAUGCACGAAAGUGUGGGUAUCGAACAGGAUUAGAUACCCGGGUAGUC
This 459-nucleotide ribosomal RNA is filed under the name uncultured bacterium. RNAcentral's name for it is "partial 16S ribosomal RNA". It matches the Rfam family "Bacterial small subunit ribosomal RNA", at positions 338 to 795 of the family's 1533-position model. The record is from RNAcentral.